Molecule: ribosomal RNA, 419 nt
Filed under: Apistobuthus susanae
Lineage: Eukaryota; Metazoa; Arthropoda; Arachnida; Scorpiones; Buthidae
Description: partial 12S ribosomal RNA
Source: RNAcentral
ACUAUAGGAGCAAAAAAUUUUUAUUUUUAGAUUUAAGGAAAAAGAAAAAAGAAAGGAAGGAUUUAUUUUAAGGGUAAAAUCUUAAAGGUAAAUAAUUUUUUCUUAAGAGAACUUUGAAAGCUCAAAGGUGAAACUAGGAUUAGAUACCCUAUUAUUAUUGAGGAAAAAGAAAUUAGGUAGUAGUAGAAGGCUUGAAACUUAAAGAAUUUGGCGGUAUUUUAAUCUAACCAGAGGAACUUGCGUUUUAAUUCGAAAUUACUCGUUUUAUCUUACUUGAAUUAAGUUUGUAUAUCGUCGUAAAAAUAAAACUUUAAGGUGUAUAUUAAAAAAUAUUUAAUAGAAAAUUACAGAUCAAGGUUCAGCAUAUUUAAGAAUACGUGAGUUACAAUAUUUAGAAAAUAAACGGAUAAUUUUUAUGA